AUGAACGCUGACAGAAUGCUUAACCCAUGCAAGUCUUUGGCGAAGCUGUGCUUGCACAGCCUAGCCAAGGCGGACGGGUGAGUAACGCGUAAGGAACUUGCCCUGCAGUCAGGGAUAACAGACGGAAACGACUGAUAAGACCUGGUAAAGUCAGGCGGACUCAUGUCCAGCCUGAUGAAAAGAGAUGCUGCAGGAGAGCCUUGCGUCCUAUUAGCUUGUUGGUGGGGUAACGGCCCACCAAGGCGAUGAUAGGUAGCCGGCCUGAGAGGGUGGACGGCCACAAGGGGACUGAGAUACGGCCCUUACUCCUACGGGAGGCAGCAGUGGGGAAUAUUGGACAAUGGGGGCAACCCUGAUCCAGCAAUUCUGUGUGCAGGAUGAAGGUUUUCGGAUUGUAAAGUGCUUUCAGCAGGGAAGAAAAAAUGACGGUACCUGCAGAAGAAGCGACGGCUAAAUACGUG
Molecule: ribosomal RNA, 461 nt
Filed under: uncultured bacterium
Lineage: Bacteria
Description: partial 16S ribosomal RNA
Rfam family: Bacterial small subunit ribosomal RNA
Source: RNAcentral